This 256-nucleotide ribosomal RNA is filed under the name uncultured bacterium. Its description in RNAcentral is "partial 16S ribosomal RNA". It matches the Rfam family "Bacterial small subunit ribosomal RNA", at positions 524 to 776 of the family's 1533-position model. The record is from RNAcentral.
UACGUAGGGGGGCAAGCGUUGUCCGGAAUCAUUGGGCGUAAAGCGCGUGUAGGCGGCUCGAUAAGUCUGCUGUGAAAGUUCAGGGCUCAACCCUGAAAUGCCGGUGGAAACUGUCGGGCUAGAGUCCGGAAGAGGCGAGUGGAAUUCCUGGUGUAGCGGUGAAAUGCGCAGAUAUCAGGAGGAACACCCAAAUGGCGAAGGCAGCUCGCUGGGACGGUACUGACGCUGAGACGCGAAAGCGUGGGGAGCAAACAGG